CACGUAGGGCGCAAGCGUUGUCCGGAAUUAUUGGGCGUAAAGAGCGUGUAGGCGGCUUGGUAGGUCCGCUGUGAAAACUCGAGGCUCAACCUCGAGAUGUCGGCGGAAACCACUUGGCUAGAGUCCGGAAGAGGAGAGUGGAAUUCCUGGUGUAGCGGUGAAAUGCGCAGAUAUCAGGAGGAACACCAAUGGCGAAGGCAGCUCGCUGGGACGUGACUGACGCUGAGACGCGAAAGCGUGGGGAGCAAACAGG
Molecule: ribosomal RNA, 253 nt
Filed under: uncultured bacterium
Lineage: Bacteria
Description: partial 16S ribosomal RNA
Rfam family: Bacterial small subunit ribosomal RNA
Source: RNAcentral